GAGGAUAUGAUGAUCCUUUCCCCAGAUGAUUGGCAAUGAACAUGCUCAGCGCUAUUUCUCUUCGGAGAAACCAAGCCAGUAUUCUGAUCCUC
Molecule: non-coding RNA, 92 nt
Organism: Triticum aestivum (bread wheat)
Lineage: Eukaryota; Viridiplantae; Streptophyta; Magnoliopsida; Poales; Poaceae
Source: Rfam